AUUGAACGCUGGCGGCAGGCUUAACACAUGCAAGUCGAGCGGGGGAAGGUAGCUUGCUACCGGACCUAGCGGCGGACGGGUGAGUAAUGCUUAGGAAUCUGCCUAUUAGUGGGGGACAACAUCUCGAAAGGGAUGCUAAUACCGCAUACGUCCUACGGGAGAAAGCAGGGGAUCUUCGGACCUUGCGCUAAUAGAUGAGCCUAAGUCAGAUUAGCUGGUUGGUGGGGUAAAGGCCUACCAAGGCGACGAUCUGUAGCGGGUCUGAGAGGAUGAUCCGCCACACUGGGACUGAGACACGGCCCAGACUCCUACGGGAGGCAGCAGUGGGGAAUAUUGGACAAUGGGCGAAAGCCUGAUCCAGCCAUGCCGCGUGUGUGAAGAAGGCCUUUUGGUUGUAAAGCACUUUAAGCGAGGAGGAGGCUACCGAGAUUAAUACUCUUGGAUAGUGGGCGUUACUCGCAGAAUAAGCACCGGCUAACUCUGUGCCAGCAGCCGCGGUAA
Molecule: ribosomal RNA, 501 nt
Filed under: uncultured bacterium
Lineage: Bacteria
Description: partial 16S ribosomal RNA
Rfam family: Bacterial small subunit ribosomal RNA
Source: RNAcentral